RNAcentral lists this ribosomal RNA (681 nucleotides) under Escherichia coli. RNAcentral's name for it is "partial 23S ribosomal RNA". It matches the Rfam family "Bacterial large subunit ribosomal RNA", at positions 604 to 1285 of the family's 2925-position model. The record is from RNAcentral. Lineage: Bacteria; Pseudomonadati; Pseudomonadota; Gammaproteobacteria; Enterobacterales; Enterobacteriaceae.
CCUUUUGUAUAAUGGGUCAGCGACUUAUAUUCUGUAGCAAGGUUAACCGAAUAGGGGAGCCGAAGGGAAACCGAGUCUUAACUGGGCGUUAAGUUGCAGGGUAUAGACCCGAAACCCGGUGAUCUAGCCAUGGGCAGGUUGAAGGUUGGGUAACACUAACUGGAGGACCGAACCGACUAAUGUUGAAAAAUUAGCGGAUGACUUGUGGCUGGGGGUGAAAGGCCAAUCAAACCGGGAGAUAGCUGGUUCUCCCCGAAAGCUAUUUAGGUAGCGCCUCGUGAAUUCAUCUCCGGGGGUAGAGCACUGUUUCGGCAAGGGGGUCAUCCCGACUUACCAACCCGAUGCAAACUGCGAAUACCGGAGAAUGUUAUCACGGGAGACACACGGCGGGUGCUAACGUCCGUCGUGAAGAGGGAAACAACCCAGACCGCCAGCUAAGGUCCCAAAGUCAUGGUUAAGUGGGAAACGAUGUGGGAAGGCCCAGACAGCCAGGAUGUUGGCUUAGAAGCAGCCAUCAUUUAAAGAAAGCGUAAUAGCUCACUGGUCGAGUCGGCCUGCGCGGAAGAUGUAACGGGGCUAAACCAUGCACCGAAGCUGCGGCAGCGACACUAUGUGUUGUUGGGUAGGGGAGCGUUCUGUAAGCCUGUGAAGGUGUGCUGUGAGGCAUGCUGGAGGUAUCAG